GAUACCUCGGGUGGCAUUCCACAUUUGCAACGCAGGCGCUGCCGAAUCCACGGAGAGACGACUCAUAGAAAUGGUCCCAAAGAAAUAAACCUGACAUCGCAUAACAUCUAAAACCUCAAAGCCGUCCACCCAGGAUGGUUCAUUAAUUUAAUUUUUUUGCCAUACUCUAAUAAAACUUUUCAUUUCUCCAUAAACAUAACAUUAUCAUGAUGUAAUGAUUUCCUCAUGAUACUACCAUAGCUUAGCAUUCAACUACAAUCGAUGGCAAAUUGAUAGCAUGGUAAUGGCAAGGGUAAAACUAUACUACCUGGGAUUUGUAGCUAGCAUAGAGAUACGAAUAAUAUUCCUAAUGCAACUAAUAAAGCAACUAGUGCAUAUUAAAAAAAAUAUUUGGGAGAUGAUCAAAGUGUAACUUGCCUUGUCCAAAGCUAUGGUAGUUCUUGCACUCUUCGCAACAACAAGGUUCACACUCCAAACAAUCUAAAAUAAAAAAAUACACACACACAUAAACGUGCUAUUCAAUAAAAAACAUGCCAUGAUGAUGCAUACGUAGGUUGGUUUUAAACUUGACAAGUUUAGCUUCUGUUUUAAAGAUCUUUACAAAAGGUUUGGACAGAUUAUAAACUAAUAAGAAAAUAUGUACUUUGUAAGAAACAAAGGUGAGCUUUAAUUAAAAGCUUAUUUGAUUUUUAUAAGGCAUGGAGCA
Molecule: long non-coding RNA, 706 nt
Filed under: Brachypodium distachyon (stiff brome)
Lineage: Eukaryota; Viridiplantae; Streptophyta; Magnoliopsida; Poales; Poaceae
Description: long non-coding RNA (BDIS_LNC003471)
Source: RNAcentral